Molecule: long non-coding RNA, 364 nt
Filed under: Jatropha curcas
Lineage: Eukaryota; Viridiplantae; Streptophyta; Magnoliopsida; Malpighiales; Euphorbiaceae
Description: long non-coding RNA (JCUR_LNC003274)
Source: RNAcentral
GGGUAACACCUGGAGUGAUGGCCGAAUCAGCUGAAAAGUCAUCCAUAACCGGAACAGUUUGAUCUAUCCCCAUUUGUCUCAAAACGCGCAAAGCGCAGUACCAAGUACAAUGGGUGAGACCCAGAAGAUAAACCCGAGAAUGGCGAAAGCUGACCUGGAUGAAACGGGUAACAUUGUACCAAGGAACGAACCACAAUAUCUCUUCGGGGCCCAACUCAAUCAGCCAUGAAGUCCAUGCAUCAGUAGAAGGGCGUGUGAUCAAGAUUCUCCGGGUACGAUACUGAGAAGGAUUGUAGGGUAAAAGAGUAGGAGCGGCAACCACUUGGAGAUGGUCCCUCAACCAUACCUGAGUAAUGGAUCCUUU